AUACCUUAGAAUGGAAUACAACAAAAAAAAGAAACUAAAACAGCAGAGGUAACAUAUCAAACUGAUGUGCCGCCUAGGAGCAGGGUCACAGUUCAUUAUAUGGCAACAAAGGGUACCUGUGAAGUUCCUUUCUCCUACCUUCAGAAAGACACGAUUGCUAAUGGGACUCCUGUUCCAACGCCAAAGACGGAUGGUGUAUUCACUGGUGUCAGCUAUCAGAAAUUCCACUUCGAUCAGCC
This 239-nucleotide unclassified non-coding RNA is filed under the name Hevea brasiliensis (rubber tree). The record is from RNAcentral. Lineage: Eukaryota; Viridiplantae; Streptophyta; Magnoliopsida; Malpighiales; Euphorbiaceae.